ACGGGAGGCAGCAGUGGGGAAUAUUGCACAAUGGGGGCAACCCUGAUGCAGCGACGCCGCGUGAAGGAAGAAGUAUCUCGGUAUGUAAACUUCUAUCAGCAGGGAAGAUAAUGACGGUACCUGACUAAGAAGCCCCGGCUAACUACGUGCCAGCAGCCGCGGUAAUACGUAGGGGGCAACCGUUAUCCGGAUUUACUGGGUGUAAAGGGAGCGUAGGCGGACUGGCAAGUCAGAUGUGAAAGGCAUGGGCUCAACCGGUGGACUGCAUUGGAAACUGUCGUUCUUGAGUGCAGGAGGGGUAAGCGGAAUUCCUAGUGUAGCGGUGAAAUGCGUAGAUAUGAGGAGGAACACCAGUGGCGAAGGCGGCUUACUGGACGGUAACUGACGUUGAGGCUCGAAAGCGUGGGGAGCAAACAGGAUUAGAUACCCUGGUA
Molecule: ribosomal RNA, 434 nt
Filed under: uncultured Blautia sp.
Lineage: Bacteria; Bacillati; Bacillota; Clostridia; Lachnospirales; Lachnospiraceae
Description: partial 16S ribosomal RNA
Rfam family: Bacterial small subunit ribosomal RNA
Source: RNAcentral